GACGAACGCUGGCGGCGUGCCUAAUACAUGCAAGUAGAACGCACAGUUUAUACCGUAGCUUGCUACACCAUAGACUGUGAGUUGCGAACGGGUGAGUAACGCGUAGGUAACCUGCCUGGUAGCGGGGGAUAACUAUUGGAAACGAUAGCUAAUACCGCAUAAUAUUGAUUAUUGCAUGAUAAUUGAUUGAAAGAUGCUAUUGCAUCACUACCAGAUGGACCUGCGUUGUAUUAGCUAGUAGGUGAGGUAACGGCUCACCUAGGCGACGAUACAUAGCCGACCUGAGAGGGUGAUCGGCCACACUGGGACUGAGACACGGCCCAGACUCCUACGGGAGGCAGCAGUAGGGAAUCUUCGGCAAUGGACGAAAGUCUGACCGAGCAACGCCGCGUGAGUGAAGAAGGUCUUCGGAUCGUAAAGCUCCGUUGUAAGAGAAGAACGGGUGUGAGAGUGGAAAGUUCACACUGUGACGGUAUCUUACCAGAAAGGGACGGCUAACUACGUG
RNAcentral lists this ribosomal RNA (505 nucleotides) under uncultured bacterium. Its description in RNAcentral is "partial 16S ribosomal RNA". It matches the Rfam family "Bacterial small subunit ribosomal RNA", at positions 28 to 507 of the family's 1533-position model. The record is from RNAcentral.